Molecule: non-coding RNA, 9584 nt
Organism: Rattus norvegicus (Norway rat)
Lineage: Eukaryota; Metazoa; Chordata; Mammalia; Rodentia; Muridae
Source: RefSeq, a predicted model, not a curated record
AGGCAGGUGGAUCACUGUGAGUUCCGGGCCAACCAGGACGACAUGGUAAGACCCUGUCUAAAGAACUGUUGAAGGCUGGAGAGAUGGUCAGUAGUUAAGAGCACUGGCUGCUCUUCCACAAGACCUGGAUUCAGUUCCUAGCAACCAUCUGUAACAUCUGUAACUAUACUCCCAGGGGACCCGAUGCCUUCUUUUGACGUCUAUGGGUACUGCAUCACAUGGUGCCCAAGCAUGCAUGCAGGAAGAAAACGCAUACAGAUUUAAGACUGUGAGAAUAAGACUUAUUUCAUCUUCAUGCUGUCUAGAGGAUCAGAAAAGGGCAGAGCGACCUCUGCUCGUGCUGGUUUUAAUAGAAUUCUGAUCUGAUUCUUUGUGAAUACUUCAGCAGCCCCGUUUGAGUAAACAAAUCCCCAAGUAUCCAGCUGCAGCCUCCCUGAGCACCUGCACCUCUCUCUACUUGGAGGACUCCAUAGUCUGUUGCCAUGGAGACAGUAGUCAAGUCACACUGCCACAAAGGAUCUCUCCUGGGUCCCAAGGAACAAAUUGUUUUCUUCUGUUUGGUUAGGUAUCCAUGGAAAUGCGCACCUCCUGGACAAUCUGUUUCCAAGGCAGACUUUGGUGAAUAGAUGGAAGUUGAAAGCAAGUAUCUCUCUGCUCUUUGAGAGACAAGAUGCUCUUGUCAGGUGUUCUAGCUUGGGUCACAUUGAUGAAAAUCCAAUCAGGGUACAGACCUUCCUGCUUGCUUCCUAAACCCAGGAAUCUUUUACAUCUCUGCGAAGGAAACAGAUUCCCCGAAGUAAACGUCACAACUAGAAACAAAGUCAAGGUGGACCAACCGAGGCCUCAGACAUUCGGGGACACAGGACGACGAGCAGGUGGGUAGAGAACCGACUGUGGGAGCAAGCAGCUACCAGCUUCUGUACCUCCUGUAGAGAGAGGAGGCCACAUGGCAACAAGUAUUUCUAUUGGAGGUUUCACAAGGAAGAGCCAACAGCCGGCCGAACGGCUUACAUGGGCUUGUCACGCUGUCUGGAGGGAACAGGUCCAGGGUGAUCGUCACGUGCUGAUAUUCCUACUGUUGGACUUGCCGCCUCUUGUCAGUGGCUUGGAAUAAUGCCACCCCUCCCUGACCCAGUUCGAGAGGGACAAUGUUACGAAGCUAGCGUGAGAAUUAUGCACAUGAUGCAGGAGAGGCUCUGGGGCGAAGAGGGAGAAUAUAUUCUGACAAGGCAGGUGGGAAUUAAGGCCAUAUCUUUCUCCAGAAAGUCACCUGACUCCAGAGGUGUAGACGCUCUACUGAGGACAUCUGGGAGCUCUACUUUACCCAGUGGGGCAGCCAGUAAUACUUAAAAUACGGAGGGACUAACCUCAUUUUAAUGUAAGUUUGAAAACUAUUAAUUUCUAUCACCUGGAAACUAAGCAUGUUUAGGAGAACCCGUGUAUGCAUAUUUACGUUUUGGCUUUAAAUUUUAUGCCAUCUAAGUACAGAUAAAGCAUUUCCAGUAAAAUUUUAGUACCAUUCUUGAGAUAUGCACACUAGAUCUUAAAGACUUUCUUUCUUUAUUUCUCUCUUUCUUAAUUUCUUUCUUUCUUUCUUUCUUUCUUUCUUUCUUUCCUUCUUUCCUUCUUUCCUUCUUUCCUUCUUUCCUUCUUUCCUUUUUGUUUUUGUUUAUUUGUUUUGUUUUGCUCAGGGAGUAUACAAUAUCUCCAUGAAAUGGUACUUCUAAAUCAAUCUUACUUUUUUCUCUUUUUAAAACUAUGAUGGCUACUUGGGAAUCUUAAGUUACAUGGGAUUUGCGUUGUACCCCUCUCCUUUUUAGAGAGAGUCUCCUCCGAUAGUGUAGGCUGGUCUAGAACUGUGUAGCUCAGAAUGCCGUGAAAUUGUGGCAACUCUCCUGCCUCAGUGCAGUGGGAAUAUAACCACGAACCGCCACAGCUGGGUGGGACUGUGUUUCUGUGAGACAGCGCAACUGUAGGAACAGGAAGGCACUGGUUUGUAAAGAAAACACACACAGGCUAUUGGAAGUAGCAAAGCAGAGUUGUGGUGUUGGGGAUGACCAGCAUGGGGUAAAUGUGUUUACCAGACAGCAGCCGAUGUGUUCUAUAAAGACUGAAUAGUGUUUUCAAAAACAGAGGGCAAAUACAUGUGUAAACUCUCCAAAAGACCAAAUUUGAUCUCUUAAAACAUGGCCUGAUCUUUUUUUUUUUUUUCUUUUUCUUUUUUUCGGAGCUGGGGAUCGAACCCAGGACCUUGCGCUUUCUAGGCAAGCGCUCUACCACUGAGCUAAAUCCCCAACCCCAACAUGGCCUGAUCUUAAUCCAUCCCAUGGUGGAGGAGGAAGGGGAACCUGCUUAGCUCUCAGCUUCAUCUGAGUCGCGCAUGAGAUUCCACCCCAGCCAGGCAGCUCCUGGCGGUCGUUAGCUGCUGGGAGAGGAAGAGGGUAGCCCUGGCUAAGUUGGCUGCAUCGGGGCAGGGGAAGGCCAUGCGUUGAAGAAUAUUGGGGCAAAACAAAUUGGUCUCGGUGGCUUUAAAAAGCUCCAAGUUGUGUGGGAUGGAAGGGGGAUGGAUUUGGGAAGAGUUGGGGAAGGAAAGAUGAACAGAAUCAAAAUGUGUUGAACAAAAUUCUCAAACAACACACGCAUGCAUGCACACACACACACAUACACAUGCAUGCACCCUCACGCACACGCAUGCAUGCAUGCACCCUCACACACAUGCACACAUGCAUGUACACAUACACUCACACUCAUGCAUAACCCUCAUACACACGCAUACACACACGUGCACACAUGCAUGCAUGCACCCUCACACACACGCACACACAUGCAUGCACACAUACACUCACACAUACACACUCAUGCAUGCACCCUCUCACACACUCGAGUGCACACACACACACACACACACACACAGAUAUUUUAAAUGUGUCUAGAGAGCCAGGCAUGGUAGCCACACUGUUAAUUCUAGCACACAGCAGGCAGAGGCUGGCAGAUCUCUGAGUUCCAGGUCCGGUAGGGCUGCACAGUGAGUGACACGGUGACCUCUUUUUCAGGUGAUUGAACUUGAUUAUAUUCCCAGUGGCUUGGGAAAAGUGGACAGGAGGCAAGCAGAGAGGAAACAAGAUGUGUCUGUGGCAAACUACUGAACAAAAUCAGCUUCAAGAGAGAGAGGUUUCUUUUGGCUCCGUUUUAGACUUUCUGCGCCUGGUUGCCCGGAUUCGAGGGAACCGAAAUUGGCAAAACCACAGAGGGCGUAAGUUGCGAUGGUCUCCGAGCGAAUCUGGAAGCAAGAUAAAACAGCGAUCUGUACACGAUCUGAUGCACCUCCAGAAAUCUUCGCUGGCUACAGAAUUAAUGCCGAUAAACAGGCACACAGUCGACUAUCAGAUAACCGUCGGGGACCCCCUUGUGUGCUUAGACAUUGAGGGACUGCGGAAAGAGGACUGUAUAUUUAAGGAACAAUUUCCAAUGCUCUAGGAGUUAGUGACCUUGACAUCUAAAGAGGCUACCUCCUGCCCACACAUCACUUCUAAUAUUGCAUGUGACUUGAUCACCUGCCAUCUUAUACCAAGCACAGUACUAUUUGCUGGAGAUAAGAAGUUGGCCCCAGCAAAGGCUUACAUUAUGCGUGUCUGACAAAGGACUUAGAAUAUAUAAAGAGCUGCUAUAAUUCAACAAUUAGACUACUGCCCGGGUUUUCAGAUACAUUGCUGCAAAAGGCAAACAAGCGGGCAAUAAACGUGUGCUCAACAUCUGUCACCAGGCAAGUGCCAACCACUAAGCCAAAAGAAAGCUUUCUUAAGUUGGUUUACUUUAGGUAUUUUUGUCAGUGAACGAAAGAACUAAAAUAAAGAAGGAAGGAACUGUGUACUAUAUAUACUAAGUAUGCGCAGGAUUUAGAGCAUGUGGGAUGCGUGUGCAUUGCCAUUGUGCUUGAUACUCACUUCUGGUGAACUGGCAGAGUCAUCACGCUGGCCUGAAAGCGGCGGUGGAGAACCCACCCUCCACAGCAGUUCCCGGGAACCUUUGAUUCAGCUCACAGAUUUUGUAACAAUGAUGAAAACUGAUUGAUACAUCUACAAUGGGGAGGGGGCUCAUUAGCUGCCUAUAGGUCUUCGUGUGGGGGGCAUGUGGGGGAGGGCAGAGGACAUAGUCUUUAAAGGGCCAUGAGGGAAGUUGGUUAUCUCAGUAAACAGGAAGCUCUGGGCGGUCACAGGAGCUUCCUUACAGUCGGCCAUCCUGCCUGCCCGCCUUUGUUCUUCAGCUGGGACAAUGCAUGGGAAUGUGGGGGGUGCCCGUUUGGAAAUAAGUAGAAAAGGAAGCUGGAACAACGCCACUUUCUUUUGCCCCCAAUGUAAACGAUCGCCGGCUGGGUGGAACAAGACGGGCUGAGCUAGGAAGAUAACAGUCUCCUGUGUGCAAGCCAAGAUGCUCGGAAAUUUGGCGUAGCAACUGUGCCUCGUUAAAUUUCGAUGAAGAGGCUCAGAGUGACAUGCAGUCCGUUUCUUAGAACUCAUGAUGCUAGGGGAGGCCUUCGAGAUCAGCUGUUGGCUCCUAGAAGGUAAGACCUGUCAUAUCUGGUCCCUGAAUAUCCUCCCAAGACCUCUGUACUGAGGUGGGAGGGGACAGACUUCAGGAGGUGUGAAGUCUAAUCUUUUCAACUUGACACACUCUUGCCUGGGAAGACAGGCCCUCGACUGAAGAAUUGCCUACAGCAGUUGACCCGCAGCAGGUUUGUGGGGUAUUUUCUCCAUCGCUUAUCGAUGUAGGAAGGUUCAGCCCACUCUGGGUGGUUCCAUUCCUAUGCAGGUGGGCCUGGGCUGUGUAAACAAUGGUAGCUGAAUGUGAGCCUGUGUACAAGCUGGCAAACAGUGUUCCUCCUUGGUCUCUGUCUCCAUGUUCCCUCCCUUGGCUUCUCUCAGCAAUGAACUUUCCUGUAAGUAGAAACUGGAAUAAACCUUUUCUUUUACCAGUUGCUUUUGGUCAUGGUGUUUAAUUACAGCAACAGGAAAGCAAACUAGGACAGGAAGUCAAGCCCAGGAAAAGAAUUUAGGACCACAUUCUUGAAGGGGACAUUGGGAUGCUGUUCCCUCCUCCUCCUUCCCUCUACUCCUCAGCUACUCUGUGGUGAAUAGUCUUACUCUGUUAUUUGGGUCCACUUUGAUGAACUGCUUUGUACAGAAAGCAACAAGGCCAGUGGGUCAUGAGCCAAGAUGAACCUUCCUCAUCUUAAAUUGCUUACCUUGGGUGACUAGCACAGGGCCUCAGGCACAGAGCUAUCUGAUAAAUCUUUGUGCACUGAUGUCCCAGCUCAUGCAACCCUAGGUCUGUGUCUACUUCAGUCUUUAAGUUUCACCCACUCUUUCCCCCUUUCUCUCUUCCUCCACACAAAUAUCACACGGUCAAGAGAACAUGACUGAAGAUUAUGCUGUGCUCGUCAUGAGCUCUAUACGAGCAAGGGCUUGGAUUGUUCUGUCCUACCAUCAUUCAAGCUCUAGACAGACAGCUGAACAAGUCACAGUGUAUCUAUGUGAUAAGAAUUACACUUACUGACAUAUAUUACUGCACACCAAGUCACAGUGUAUCUAUGUGGUAAGAAUUAUGCACACUGACAUAUUACUGCACACCAAGUCACAGUGUAUCUAUGUACUAAGAAUUACACUUACUGACAUAUACUGCUGCACACCAAGUCACAGUGUAUCUGUGUGAUAAGAAUUACACUUACUGACAUGUAUUACUGCAUACCAAGUCACAGUGUAUCUAUGUGAUAAGAAUUACACUUACUGACAUAUAUUGCUAUACACCAAGUCAGUGUAUCUAUGUGAUAAGAAUUAUAUAACAUAUAGAAUAUAGACAUGAAGAACUAUACGUACUGACAUAUAUUGCUGCACACCAUUCACAAAUUUGGGUCCAGCCGCUUUCCUCAAAUUGAUGAAUUUUGAGAGGUGUUCAUAAGCCACAAAUUCAUUGAAGAACGUCUUGUAGCCUAUGAGUUUGGCGACCAUAAAGCUGUCUUGCCAGUCGACUCCCAUCAUGAAGGAGAAAGGCAUGAAGAUGUAAGAACAAAUGAGCUGCAAGGGACAGAGGUGGUGACACUCAUUUAAUAGCGAUUGCCUCGAAUUCUGCCACAUCCCCUCAGUGACAGGGUUGGUCCUGCUCUUCUGGGCACAAGGAACCCAUCUUCAGUUGACCAUCUUUAUGUAUCAGGGAUGUAUGGUUGGUCCUCAACAAAUUGGUCUUAAGGCUUGAUUCUCAUGUGGUAAUGUCAACAGGUACUCGAGCCUUAAAAUCAAUGAGUGUCUUUCCUGUGGUAUCGCAUUAGUUCUCUGUGGAAUGGACUAAUUUGAGUGUUUAAACAAGGUCAGUGGCAUGGUCCCCCCACCUCCAUUCAUUUUGAAUGUGCCCUUUUCUCUUGUCUGUGGUGCACAGGACUGCAUGUGAGCCUCAUCAUGUAUAAUCCCCUGACUGGAUUUUAAGUCUGCAGAGUGGCAAGUUAAAUAAAAACCUUUUAUCUUUAUAAGGCUUCCUGACCCAGUGUUCUGUCAUAGCACAGACUAAAAUAGGAAUUGGGUUGGAAGUAGCUUAUAUUUUUGGGAAGAGGUCAGGAAAGAAUGAUUGCUUUGGGGGAACGGUGGGGCAGCAAUUUAGAUGCCUCUAUAGUGUGUGAGAGAGCACAACACAGCUGACUAGGAAAGGCUCACUCUGUAGCUCACACUGGCAACCCUAUCUCGGCCUCCUAAGUGAUGGGAUUAAAAGGUGAGUCACAUACCUGGCUUCUAAACGUGUUUUCAAAUGAAGGUAGUUCAGAAACAAAACAAGGUAGAGCCAUUACCUCGAAACUCAGCUGUGGGUAGUCGAACAUGCUUCCAAACCAAGACAGAGCGGAGUUCACAAAGGAAAGCAAGGCCAGGAAGGCGAUCAGAUUUGCAGCGAUGUUUGCCACCAGGGGGAUGGACGAAGAUGCACCCUGCGUGGCCGCCUCCAGGAGAUUCCGGGAAUCACUACAUCAAAAAAAAAUGGGAAUUCUACAAUUACCAAGGAGUAUCUGUGGUGGUUUGCAUGUGCUUGGCCCAGGGAGUGGCAUUAUUUGGGGGUGUGGCCUUGGAGUGGGUGUGGCCUUGUUGGAGUGGGUGUGUCGCUAUGGGUGUGGACUCUAAUACCCUAGCCCUAGCUGCAUGGAUGUCAGUCUUCCACUAGCAGCCUUCAGAUGAGGAUGUAGAACUCUCAGCUCCUCCUGCACCAUGCCUGCCUGGAUGCUGCCAUGCUCCUGCCUUGAUGAUAAUGGACUGAACCUCUGAACCUGUAAGCCAGCCCCAUUAAAUGUUGUCCUUAUAAGAGUUGCCUUGAUCAUGGUGUCUGCUCACAGCAGUCAAAACCCUAACUAAGACAGUAUCUCUGGAACUACAGCAUAGGAGUGACCUAAUCAUAGUGGCCCGGUAAGGGGUGGACCCUUAGCCACAUCCCUUGGUCAGAGUACGCAGUCUCUUACAGCCUCAAAAUUUGAUGGGCUUAUGAUCGUGGAUGCUUGGCUGUGGGGAUGUGGAGCCCACUGCUGUGGUACCUUUCUCUUGGUGGAGGCUGAAUCCUGGGCUUUGGAUGCUAAGCAUCCACUCCCACCUCUACUCCAUUGGGUACAUUUAUAAUAAUAAAAAAAUAAUCCCUAAGAAGCAACAAAACCAUAUUACGUUUAACUACUAUUUCAAAAAUAGUUACCUGCCAGGGACUGUUGAUAAAAUCUCCAGGGACUACCAACUAGCAGUUGAAAGGAAACCCACAUCACCACUGCUUCACUAAAGACUGAAUCCCACGGUAUGCUCCUCUCUGGUCCCUCACGAACCCCUCUCAUCUGAGAGGUCUAUCCCUAAAAUCUAUCUAAGCCCCCAAACCCCAUUUCUUUACUAUUUCCUACACAGCUGCAUCCUUACAUAACACACCUGACCUAUACACACCAAGCAAAUCUUCAUGGUCCCUGACUCUGUAGGUAGAACCUUCAGGAUGCUACCUAGCCCCCCAUCCCAAUUACCCAGACCAAAAGUGUUUCCUAGUUUGGUGUUUGGAAUAGUCGCAGAAAUACGUAACAAGAAGUCCUGCGGGAGGAGGGGUAAGGAUUAGAAUUCAGUGAUGAUUAACUAAUAUUUCAUAUGCACCUAAUACGCAAAACCUGAGAUAUAUUUUUUUUUCUCUUUUUUUUUCGGAGCUGGGGACCGAACCCAGGGCCUUGCACGUGCUAGGCAAGCGCUCUACCACUGAGCUAAAUCCCCAACCCCCUGAGAUAUAUUUUUUAUGCAACAUUUUAAAUGUUUGUUGAUUUGCUAUUUCCGUGUGUGUGUGUGUGAGCAUGAUGUAUGUGGUGAGGGUGAAUGGGCCGAGGGCACGGGACAACUUCAUGGAGCCACUUCUCUUCUGCACCUUUAAGUGACUCCUGGGCUCAGACAUGGGUCUCUCACCUUGUACGGUGAAUGACUUUACCUGCAGAGCCCUCCUGCUGCCCUAGACGACUUUUUAAUAAUCUGUGUAUAGAACAAAGUUGAGCGGCCUGGGUUUUCCCGCUUGUGGCAUCGACAUGGAAGUGAAAGACAUUUCGGGUUUCAGAACGGUUUUGAUUUUAGGUUUUGGGUUUCAGAUGCCCGCCUUUCACCUCGUCCCUUCCACAAGCUGUCUUCACAUUCCGCUCCCAGUCAUGAGUAUUUCCACAUGAAUGAGGCCGCACAUUCGUUAAAUUGUGUGACAUAAUUCAUAUCGUACGGGUCUCACUCCUGAAGUCCCUCUGAGGUUUUUAUUUCUUUUUCACAGAGUGGAAGAAAACGAAGCUGCCUUUUUAAUCCCACGAGGGAACCUGGGAACAUCCAUUCUGAAACUUUCCGAUAGUCUUAAAGCUGGGCUCAGCGAACAGUGCGUUUGUUUAUCAAGAAGCACUUCAUAAGAGGCCAAAAGAGUUUGGCCACAGCCAGGGCUGCAGGCGCCGACAUGACAGAAGCGGUGAGCAAGUGUGUAGAUGACACCUGCAGCAGUGAAAAAGGAAGGGGCUGAUCCAGUGCCAGAGGCUUGGAAGACCAUUCCAGGCGCCCAGCACGCCCCGUGUGCCCAGUCAGAGGACAAGGCAGGAAUUCAAGACACCUGACCACCCCCUUGGGAGAAGCAUGGAUCCUAAAUCUAUGAUUAUCUAGGAUGAGAAUUAAUCCUGCAUUGUAAGAACUUUCAAAGACUUCUCAACCCCUCUGUUGUCUCUCCGAUCAUCCGGCUGAUAUUGUCCCUGCAAUCCAUAAUUGUCACAUCCUCCGUGCAGAUGGGGUACGAGGUGGAAGGAGCACGGCCGAAGCAGAGACGGAUGGUCCCCACUCUUCCCACCCAGGAACCCUUCCUGUCUUUACACAACAUUAACCAACCCAUUGUCCCUUUAGCAUGUAAACUAUUUCUAUCCACCAUUUCUUACCCACCCUCGUAGUUGGAUUAUUCUGGAUUUUUCCCACUACGGUGAUGGCUAAUCUUGGUCGUCAACUUGACUGUUAUCUAGGAUCAAUUAAAACCCAAGCCCAGGGCGCUCCUGGGUGGGACUUUUUUGAUUAGAUUGUUUGAAAGAGAAA